Molecule: ribosomal RNA, 253 nt
Filed under: uncultured bacterium
Lineage: Bacteria
Description: partial 16S ribosomal RNA
Rfam family: Bacterial small subunit ribosomal RNA
Source: RNAcentral
GACGUAGGGGGCGAGCGUUGUCCGGAGUUACUGGGCGUAAAGGGCACGCAGGCGGUCAUGUAAGUCUGUUCUGACAGCUCCUGGCUCAACCGGGAGAGGCGAACGGAAACUGUAUGACUUGAGGACUUCAGAGGGACACGGAAUUCCGGGUGGAGUGGUGAAAUGCGUAGAGAUCCGGAGGAACACCAAAGGCGAAGGCAGUGUCCUGGGAAGUACCUGACGCUCAGGUGCGAAAGCCAGGGGAGCGAACGGG